UCAGAGUUUGUGAUCAUAUCAUGUGUUGCUAUUCAGAAUUAAGUAUUUAGUUACGGAGAACAAAUUAAAUUUGCAUAUAUAAUGAGCAGGUUCGUAUUUAAUUCCGAAGGCUGUUGUGAUCAGUCGGUAAACGUUCAGUUGUAUAUCUUUCCACUUCCUGUCCUUGGCUCUGCUUGCAUUAUAUCAGGAGAUAACAUCGGGCGUCUUCAACGGUAAUUUCAUUUUAUAACUUGAUUUAUUGAGAAGGAGGUUUAAAAGUGGGUACAAUCAUGAUAAUGGCAGGAGAUGCACAUGUAGAUGAAUCUCAAUUGAAGGGUCUUUCUAAGUAUUUUAAUUCAGUUACGGCGACUGGACGAGCCAAUGUGGCAAAAGCAACAUAUGCUUCAGUGGGAUUGCUUAUCUUAUACUUCACUUU
Non-coding RNA from Zootermopsis nevadensis, 415 nucleotides. Lineage: Eukaryota; Metazoa; Arthropoda; Insecta; Blattodea; Termopsidae. The record is from RefSeq and is a predicted model, not a curated record.